Phoenix dactylifera (date palm) is the source of this 2656-nucleotide non-coding RNA. The record is from RefSeq and is a predicted model, not a curated record. Lineage: Eukaryota; Viridiplantae; Streptophyta; Magnoliopsida; Arecales; Arecaceae.
UUCUGUGGUUCUCAGCAGUGACAACUCAGAGGUUCCCCCCUUUCAACCAAGGACUCUCGGUGCAUUUAAUUUAGUCGUGUUUCCUUGAGCAUAAUUGAUAUUAUCCUAAUUUUCCUUUCCAUUUGUAGUUUGUGUUGCUGUCAGGCUGUAAUAAAUCUGAAAUAUAUUAGUUCAUUUGGUUCCUUGGAUUCUUAAGUAGAUCCAAUAUUCACUUAAGCAUGCAUGCUAUCUUCACUGUUUCAGCUUCUCCCUCCAAUUAAUGUACUCCUUCUUUUAACCUCAUAUUAUUCCUUAUUCAAUUGUUUAAUUUCACCAUAUAUGGUAAAAGGUUGAUUUUCAGAUAUGCUUCUUAUACACUGGGAAUCGUUCGGUUCGUGUAAGGUUGCUGUUUAUUGGUAACUUUAUCAUCAAUCAUUAUGUAAUUAAAAUGAAUCUUGUCAUCUGUUACAGAAUAUUUGGUUCACAUUAAAUUGUGUAUGUGGUGGGGAUUUAGCAUAGCAGUUUAUCUGUAUAUGUUUGAUAAUUCAUAUGUUGGAUUUAUAUUUUAGCAAGUAAGACCAUGAUGACUAACAGGGUUACAGUGAUGGCUUCCUAGUUCUUCCUGUAUUUUGUGUAAACUCGUAGGCAUUAUUUUGUUGGUUGUUGGUCUUGGUCACAAUCCAGCAAAGAGAACAAGAUUUAUAAUUCAGUCAAGCUCAGGCAAAUGGAAUCUAUUUCACUUGUCUUAUUUAAGAUUUAAAGUGAUUAAUUGAUCAACAUUCAGAAAUUUUUUAGAAAGUAUUGUUAGUUCUCUGCAGUAAUUUGUCAUUUUUUGAAUCGUUAAUAAAAGUAGCGAAUUAUUCAGGAAAAGCUAUUUCUAUGUGAGUCUUAAUCAACUUGAGAAAUUGAUUUUGAUAGAAAAUCUAAACUAGAGUGGUUAUCAGUCAGAAUUCAAGAAAUGCAGGCAUAGUUUGUAUCAGAGAUAGUUUCUGUGUGAAGUUUAUUGUAAAAUUCUUUUGUUUAAUCUUAAAUUAAGUGUAGCUCUUAUUUGGUAGCCUACGAAUCCCAUUUGUUCUUCAUUCUUCUGCUGUACUACAAGCAAAUUUUAGAUACCAGCUAAAUUUUACUUCGACAGUUUCAAGGCUAGGUAUAUGUUUGUCCGGCUAGCUAUCUGUUGUCAGCACAUUUCAUUUGUGUCUCGGCAACUUGUACUGUCACGCUAGUGGACGCAGGUGCACCCUCAUGCCUGCCAUUCAGUCUUUUGGCAGCAAAGAGGCAUCAUCAUCAGUAAUCCCAAUAAAUGUCUCAAUUAUCAUCUCAGCCACAGAUCUCAACGUUCCUUUAUAACCAAUCUAUUUUAUAAUCAUCUCCAAUUUUAUUUCAGUAACUUUGUCCUUGAUGUUAGUUACAGUUUAGAGUAUAACCUAUAAACUACAGGCUGUCUAAAAGCAACUUCAUAUUUCAUGGAUCAUUUUGAAGUUUGAAAUGUGCUAGUCAUGCUAGAAAUUGACUACAUAAAGGAAGAACCAUGCAUUUCUGCAGGUUAGCGACACCAAUCUGUUUAAAGUACAUUAAUGUUGCCAUGGUAACAAUUUUGAAGAAUGUCACCAAUGUCAUUACUGCUCUUGGUGAAACAUACCUUUUCCAAAAGCAUCACGGCAACAAAGUCUGGGCUGCUCUGUUCCUUAUGAUAAUCUCAGCAAUUUCUGGAGGAAUCACAGAUCUCUCAUUUCAUGCAGUUGGCUAUGCAUGGCAGAUUGUUAAUUGUUUCCUGACAGCAUCAUAUUCACUAACACUACGGCGGGUUAUGGAUACAGCUAAGCAAUUAACAAAAUCUGGAAAUUUGAAUGAGUUUUCAAUGGUUUUGCUCAAUAACACACUUUCAUUGCCUUUGGGGAUUCUGCUAGUUUUUGCAUUUAAUGAAGUGGAUUACCUUUCUAAAACGCCGCUUUUGAGGAUGCCUUUAUUCUGGUUGACAAUGACUUCAAGUGGGUUUUUGGGGCUUGCAAUCAGCUUCACUUCAAUGUGGUUUCUUCACCAGACAGGUGCAACUACAUACAGCCUUGUAGGAUCACUGAAUAAGAUACCUCUGUCCAUUGCUGGAAUCCUUCUCUUUAAAGUUCCAACUAGCCUGGAGAAUUUCAUAAGCAUCCUUUUUGGUCUGUUAGCAGGCAUAUUCUUUGCCAAGGCAAAGAUGAGGGAGAGAUCUCAGUCCUGAGGUAGAGAGGGGCCGUUCAUUGGAAAUCAUUGUUUGGAGCUGGGAAAGUGCUGUAUUUGCAGAAUUACAGUAAGAACCAGAAAAUUAAUCAGAGUCCAAUGCUGAAGAACUUGGGGGUGCAAUGACCUAACUGUGCCAUGGGCAUCAACAGUGUACCAUCUUAUUUUAUCGGAAGUCUCGGAGGAGACAAAUGGUGCGGCGGACCAUCACCCAUGUAUUUUUCUCAAAAAGGGAAAAAAAGGGGCACCUGUAAUAAAACUUCUUGUAGAAUGCUGCUUACCGUUGGUUGGACAUGAUUCAGUAAUCUAGUUGAGGAUAAAACGCUUUGGAAUUGUUAAUUCAUAACUUGAGACGUACGUGGCUGAAUGUAUCUUGCAAGAAAUUUGGAUGAAGCUUUUGAUGUAAAGCUACAAAUUUAACAAAAAAUGAGUAUGACUUCUCAGUGUGCUUAAAUAUUUA